RNAcentral lists this ribosomal RNA (523 nucleotides) under uncultured Paracoccaceae bacterium. RNAcentral's name for it is "bacterial SSU rRNA". It matches the Rfam family "Bacterial small subunit ribosomal RNA", at positions 962 to 1505 of the family's 1533-position model. Lineage: Bacteria; Pseudomonadati; Pseudomonadota; Alphaproteobacteria; Rhodobacterales; Paracoccaceae. The record is from RNAcentral.
CGCAGAACCUUACCCAACCCUUGACAUGCCUGGACAAUCCGAGAGAUCGGACUUUCCUUCGGGACCAGUGCACAGGUGCUGCAUGGCUGUCGUCAGCUAGUGUCGUGAGAUGUUCGGUUAAGUCCGGCAACGAGCGCAACCCACAUCUUUAGUUGCCAGCAGGUUAAGCUGGGCACUCUAGAGAAACUGCCCGUGAUAAGCGGGAGGAAGGUGUGGAUGACGUCAAGUCCUCAUGGCCCUUACGGGUUGGGCUACACACGUGCUACAAUGGCAGUGACAAUGGGUUAAUCCCAAAAAGCUGUCUCAGUUCGGAUUGGGGUCUGCAACUCGACCCCAUGAAGUCGGAAUCGCUAGUAAUCGCGUAACAGCAUGACGCGGUGAAUACGUUCCCGGGCCUUGUACACACCGCCCGUCACACCAUGGGAGUUGGUUCUACCCGACGACGCUGCGCUAACCCUUCGGGGAGGCAGGCGGCCACGGUAGGAUCAGCGACUGGGGUGAAGUCGUAACAAGGUAGCCGUAR